RNAcentral lists this ribosomal RNA (474 nucleotides) under uncultured soil bacterium. Its description in RNAcentral is "bacterial SSU rRNA". It matches the Rfam family "Bacterial small subunit ribosomal RNA", at positions 26 to 518 of the family's 1533-position model. The record is from RNAcentral.
AGGACGAACGCUGGCGGCGUGCUUAACACAUGCAAGUCGAACGAGGUCCAACCCGUCGCAAGACGGGGGAAGACCUAGUGGCGAACGGGUGAGUAACACGUGGGGAACGUGCCCCGGAGACCGGGAUAACAGCGGGAAACCGCUGCUAAUACCGGAUACCUUCUUUGACCGCAUGGUCAGCUGAAGAAAUGGAUUCCGCUCCGGGAGCGCCUCGCGGUCUAUCAGCUUGUGGUGGGUAACGCCUACCAAGGCGACGACGGAUAGCUGGUCUGAGAGGACGAUCAGCCACACUGGGACUGAGACACGGCCCAGACUCCUACGGGAGGCAGCAGUGGGGAAUCUUGCCCAAUGGGCGAAAGCCUGAGGCAGCAACGCCGCGUGUGGAUGAAGGCCCUUGGGUUGUAAACCACUUUCAGCAGGACGAAAAUGACGGUACCUGCAGAAGAAGCCCGGCAACUACGUGCCAGCAGCCGC